UUAUUGAUUAUAGUAUUUUACGUUCAUUACACAAAAGUUUGUAAAAAUUUGGCCGAAGCCAACAGUUCACAGUGUUAUGGAUAUUAUGCUCGCCUUACGGCUCGCUCAUAAAUGAUCCUUCCGCAGGUUCACCUACGGAAA
This 141-nucleotide unclassified non-coding RNA is filed under the name uncultured fungus. RNAcentral's name for it is "sequence contains ITS1". Lineage: Eukaryota; Fungi. The record is from RNAcentral.